Molecule: long non-coding RNA, 1066 nt
Filed under: Phasianus colchicus (ring-necked pheasant)
Lineage: Eukaryota; Metazoa; Chordata; Aves; Galliformes; Phasianidae
Description: lncRNA (ENSPCLG00000013197.1)
Source: RNAcentral
GGAGACAUGAAAAUAAUUUACAGAUGUGCGUUACCUGUUUGUGUUUGUACCAAGUUUUGCUCCGUGGACGUAAUUUUCUUAGCUUGCAGUAACAAAAAAAUAUUCCCAGAGUUUCACUCGUUUAAUUUGGACUUAUUAAAACUUUUAAACAUGUGCGGAGGUUUCGGGUUUUUACAUCACUAAUCACAUGGACGCACGCCAAGAUUUCUAUUAAAGCCUUUUAUGAACACUGUUUUUAAAAGGCUCUGAAACCCCCGUUGCAUUUAACCCCUGAAACCGCUCCAACUGAGAAACUUGCACUGGGUUGAUGUCACAUCCACCUCGUAUUGCAAAAAGAUGUGAGGCGUGCGUGGGGUUCUGCCUCCUUCCUUCCUUCCCCUCUGCUGCAGGAGUCCCUGCAGGAGCAACGGGUUGGCAGUGGGACAGCACAGAGGUGGCUCAGGGUGCAGCUGGGGCUGGCACAGAGGGCACCAGGGCCACAAAGCUGCGUGUGUCCAGGUUGGGUCCUGCCCCGUGCCAUCACCCCGAGGCGCAUGGUGCUGCCACUGCAUCCAUAUACAGUGGCCAAUGCCACCUCCCCACUUGUCCCCAGUUUGGCACAGGGCACAGUGGGGACCCUGGUGGCCACCUGCCCAUGGGCUUUUCUGUAGAUGUGGGGAAGGAAACGCAGCAUGGUGAGAGGUUCUGCACGCAGAGAACAAGUCCGGGCAAAGCGAGGUUGCUGCAGCAGGAGGGAGAAAGGGGCAAGAUGAGGGGAGCAGAGAACAGAUCCCCAUGGCCAGAGGGUGGUGGAACUUCCAGGGGCCACUGCACGUCUCCAGUGGAGGUGACACAGUCUGGUGGCACAGAGAUAUCGCUCAGCCAAGGCUGCAUCCCACUGCACAGCCACUGCAGGGGGUGGGACAGGGGUACCCACUUCCCAAGGGUGCAAAAUGUCUGGGCAGGUGGGCAUUACACCAAAUUCCUUCACUGUUUUGCAUCUGCUUACUGUCCUGCAGCAAUGCAGCAAAGCAAAGCACGUGGCCCUGGGAUGCUCUGAAAUCCUUCACAGCUCUCAGCAUCACCC